UUGAAUGCACUUUUUUUUCAGUAGAGAGUUUACAUCCAGAAGGAGCAAAAAAUUGUUAAUUCAAAUAUUUGUUUUUCUCUUUUCAGCUUAAACAAAAUGUAGGAAUUUUUUUUUUAAAUAAUGCGUGUAGUCCACUAAUGUUUUUGGAAAGACAAACCCUCUGGAGAAACAAGACAAAGCCUGUAUCGUGUUCCUGUGAUGUUCCUGCUGACUGACCUGAGGAUUUGGAGCAAGGCACUGAAAAUUCACCAUCAUUACAAUCCAGCACGGGUCCAAGCAGGAUUGGAAACCUGUCAGUAUCUCUGCAUUGGUGGCUCCCUCCAUUUCCAGGUAUACUUGGAGACAAGAGCUGGGCCAGGGACAGCCUGGCCUGAUGACAGCAUUGCAGGGGACUUAGGCUAUUAAUGCCAAUACAUAAAAAUUUAUAAUAAUAUCAAAGAUGGAUUCUUAUUGAGUGAGAAUUACCAAAUGUGUUGAGUCCCAGAGAGAAGUCAGUCAUUCUUGUGUCACCUCCUAAGACCUAAUUCUUAGUAUUAAAGUAAUAUGUGAUCUCAUUUCUGUAUUUCUAAGGGAUGAACAAAAGAUGCCUGUGUUAAACGCAAAACAACAUUUUGGGAAAAGAAGUUACUUCUAGAUGCUUCAAAUCAAUCUGACAGCCCACUGCUUUAAUCUGACACCAGUAGAAUGGCAAUAAUUUGGAAGGUGUCCCAAAUAGAGCCUUGUGAUGAAAUCACCAAGGUUGUGGGUUUAAUCUCCAUAUAGGCCACUCACUUAAUAGUUGGACUUGAUGAUCUUUGUGGAUCCAUGCCAACUUAAAAUAUUCUUUAGUUCUAUGAAAUUUUCUUCUCUAAUUUGCUCUUCCUCUUCAAUAUAUAGUUAAUCCUCUGAAGAUGCUUUUAUAAAAUAUGUUUUUUUUCUGGGUACAAUUCAAUGAGGUGGAAGUACUUAAAAUUUUUGUUUUCAGUGAAAAUGCUAUCAGUUUUAUUUGCAAGAGAGCGCAUGUGCCACAUCUACUCAUUUUUUGAACAUUUCCAGGGAUGGUGACACUUUCUGGUGGAGUCUGUUCCAGUGCUUUCUGUGAUUAAAUUUUUCCUAGUAUUCAACCUGAGUAAUGGGAAACAAACCAGAUGAAAUUAAUAUUAUUUAAAAUUUGUAAAAUAGGUAUCUAUUAGUGGUUUUUCAAACAUGGUUGUGGGGGACACACACACAAACCAGGCUGGGCAUGGCAUCACCCACUGUAGCCACCUGUGGUGACAAAUCCAUCCUGUUUUCAGAAGUCAAGCAGGGCAGAGGGAUGGCGUGAAGAGCUGGAGACAGCAGAGCAUCUCUGGUACUCUCAAGCUGGCUACUGUGCAUCUCCAGCAGCCACCCCUGUGCUCGCUGGGGUGAUCCACAGGGAAGGCACAACGGCAUUUCUCCCAUUUCAGUAUUUUGAUGUUUCCCCCCCAGUUUCCAGCAGUUCCACUUUUCUGCUGCUUUGCCUCUCCAGAGUUUUUGCUGACAGAACAGAAUGCUGGUAGCAAACACAUUAUUCAUUGUGAUUGAACGCCUAGUAAUUACGUUAUAUAUUUUUUUCAUUUCUUAAAUUAAAUCUCUUUGCUAUUAAGAACAGAUGUUAAAUUCGGGAAUGUUGUUGAUUGUUAGUGUGACACACACAUGAAAUAUUUUAAAUGAGAAGGCUGAUUGAAUUUUAAACAUACUGAUCACACUGGUGGAAUUGAAAAUAAUUGAAACUGGGAAUAGCUGAAAUGUUUCCAAGAAGAGGAGACGGAGGUGGGGUUUGCUUUUCAAAUUCCUGAUCACACCAAUCAUGUUAAAUUCUGCAGACUAAAUACAAUUAUUUACUGUAUAUCAUAAUACCAAACAUGAGACUUGCAUGGUUUUUACUUCAAAAUCACAGUAGAAAAGAAUUUAAAAAAUAAGACAAAAUCAGGACUUCAGAUAUUACUCAUGUCCUUGUAGGAGCUUGUCUUUUUUUGUUUGUUUGUUUGUUUCCUCAGCUCAUUCAGUAAAAGCACAUUUCAGGAAAUCUGACAUUACUACCAAGGAAGUAUUGUCCACCAUGCAGGCUGAGCUGGUUCUUGCAAUCCUUUCACCUGCAGAAAGCCCCAGAUCCCUUUCCCAACCUGGAGGACUGAUGGCUUCAUUCUGCAAGGGCUGAUGCUGGAAAGAAGGGAGGAAAUUACUGCAAAGCACCCAAUCACCAAUCUGAACCACUAGGCUGGAUACUGCUCCUCCAGGUGUAUUCUCCUCUUUCUAACCAGAAAAUCCACUGCAAACCUCUGGGUCUGAGCAUCCCUGAUCCCCUGGAGCUGGGGGUAAGUAUAGCUCACUCUGCUCUCAGACUGGUGAAAUCCAAGUAGAUAAAAAGAUCUUUACAUAGACAAGGUGUUUGACAUGCCCUCCAGCCGGAAAAGUGCAGUCAGAAUAUUUCUCAGUGAAAAUGGUUCAGUAAAGAGUGGUUAUUAUUAUAUUAGUGGUUGGACUCGAUGAUCCUAAAUUUCUUUUCCAACCAGGUGAUUUUGUGAUCUUCAGGGUCUAAGCCAAAUUUGCUGACAGUGGUCUCUAAACCAGGCAUGGCUGAGUUGGUGAAGAAAUUGGAGCAGGGAAGUUCUGAGCAAAGCUGGGAGAGUGACACAGAGCUGACCCAAAAUGAUGGCCAAGGCUUCUCUGCUUCAGAAUCAGCCCUAAAUGGUCCCUCUAGGCUGAGCUUUCAGCCUCUCAGCUGCCAUCAUUACACAGUGACUGGACUUGAAAUCAAAGGACAGCUACUGCAAUCCCAUUUGUACCAUCUUUGACUCAUUUGAUCACGUCCAGAGGGCUGUAGAAAUAUAUUAAUAGAUUUUCAUGUUCAGAAGAAGCCAUUCCCCAUGCAACCUCUAUAUAUGUUUCUACAGAAUUCUACAUUCUUUGGAUAUUAUUGUGUUUGACAAAUCUGACAAAAUGGCUAAAACCAAACUGAUCCGAAGAAUUUCCCCUCUCUUUCCUCCCUUUCUCAUGCAGAAGCAUCGCUGUUCCUUCUGCUUUGCAACCCAAGGCAAUUUUUGCAUUUGCAACCCCUACAGAGCUACACAGAGGAUACAUAACAAUACUACACCAUUUGACAAGUUUUCAAAUAGCGUGACCAAAACUUACAUUUAUGUCAGCCUGUAUUAAAUCUUGUCUGCACCUUUUUUAGCUGCUAUGACUUUGAACUUCAACAAGAAACAGAAACACGCAUCCUGUAGAGAUGAUGCACAUAAAUAAAACUUUGCUUAAACAU
Taeniopygia guttata (zebra finch) is the source of this 3262-nucleotide non-coding RNA. Lineage: Eukaryota; Metazoa; Chordata; Aves; Passeriformes; Estrildidae. The record is from RefSeq and is a predicted model, not a curated record.